AUAUGGCUUACCCUCAAUGUACCCACUGAAGAAAACUGAUUUUUCCUCUGUAAUCAGCUAUAAUUUCAUAGUGUCCCAUGCUAGAGCAAACUGUGGCUCUUAACCAUUGCCCAGCCUCCAUGCCUGUAGGCUGCUGGCAAUGAAGUGGGUCACACAGUG
Molecule: small nucleolar RNA, 159 nt
Organism: Arvicanthis niloticus (Nile rat)
Lineage: Eukaryota; Metazoa; Chordata; Mammalia; Rodentia; Muridae
Product: small nucleolar RNA SNORA42/SNORA80 family
Source: RefSeq, a predicted model, not a curated record